Stegodyphus mimosarum is the source of this 73-nucleotide non-coding RNA. Lineage: Eukaryota; Metazoa; Arthropoda; Arachnida; Araneae; Eresidae. The record is from Rfam.
GCCUUCGUGGUGUAGUGGUCAGCACGCUUCACGCGUAACCGAGAGUACCGUGGUUCGAUUCCCGGCGAAGGCG